GCAAAGCUUCUCGUGAAGCUUCUUUGGACAAAGAUCUAUCCUCAUCUUAGAUUCAUGUAUCUGGGUCGUUUCGUAGAUUUCAGGUGCAAUCUCCUCUCCUUCCCCAUCUCUGUCUUUUUUGGCUAUCGCUUCUCGGCCAAUCUUCCAACAAAAAACCCGAGACAUAACUCUGAGCUUUCAGGGAUCUACCCUCUUUGCCACCUCCCAUAGCAAGCGAUUAGGGUUCGUUCAUCGUCAUGGUGCUUCUCAGGCUUCUAUUCGGAGGCACUUAUCAAGGGCCUCCUCCAGUGAUGGCACCUCCCCAGUAUUAUGCAGCCCCAGCUCCCCCACCGCCGGAGACGAGUUUUCUCGAAGGAUGCCUAGCAGCUUUAUGCUGUUGUUGUCUCUUUGACUGGUGCUGCGAUCCGACUCUCCUAUUCGUCGUAUGAACUGAUGUUUUACUGAAUCCGUAAAUGUUUUUAUGUAUAAAUGUUAGCUUGUGAUACAGAGAUGUAUACUAGACUUAAUGUAAUCAAGGUUUAGAGGCGAAUGGAAUGAAAUUUCCGGUCGGAGAGAUUGUUAUGCA
Tripterygium wilfordii is the source of this 565-nucleotide long non-coding RNA. RefSeq lists it as uncharacterized. NCBI's taxonomy places the organism in Eukaryota, Viridiplantae, Streptophyta, Magnoliopsida, Celastrales, Celastraceae. The record is from RefSeq and is a predicted model, not a curated record. The transcript is spliced from 4 exons.